GAUAGGAUGUUCUUGGAGUUAAGUUACUUAAAAUAGCUCAGUUUAACUGAACAGAAUGAGAGGAAUGGGAGUAGGGGGAGUGUGCGACAUCACAGUGAUCCACAUUGACAGUUACGUCACUACUCUGUCGCCUUGCUCAAAUCUCAUUCCCUCCCAUAGCCUGAACUUUGGUCAGACCUCGCAGGAGCUCUCAUUCCAGCAGUGCACCCUGGACACUGAACCACCUCUGAACUGUGGGGAAGAUUUGCCCGGCGGUUGGCAACACAUGCGUUGUGCAAACAAUAAUAUUGUGUUGUUGGGGUUUAACUUUAGUCCUGCUUCUCUGUGGAUGCCACUAAAUCCGUUGUAGAGGACAAUUCUGAUGGACUGGCGGAGAUGUCUGGGGAGGAUCUGUGCUCAUGGUGAUUCCAGAAGGAACAUUCUGCUGAGUGAAGCGGGGAGUGAGUUGCAUGUGCUUGUUCUGGCUCCAUAAGGGACAUCACAGCACCAGACAACCAAAAGCCACGAAAGCCCACAGCAGAACAUGGACUUGGAUACGCCAGUAAGCUACUGACACUGGAUUGAGUGUAACUUCAAAUUUUUGUAUCCAGGGAACUUUUAGUGUGAACAGGAAGUUGACCGAUGGAGACUGGUCUGUCUUCAUGGGCCAUCGUGGCCAUAGUGUGUAACUCUGUAGUGGGCUUCCUCACCCUCAUCCUCUUUGUGAUCCUCUACAAGGCCUGCAAGGUGCCCUCCUGCCAAGAGAGGGCGCCAGUACUGAUACCAGCCCAGGAGCAGCAGGGUGUGGAGCAGAAAUACUUACUGACUGCCGCCUAGUCAUGGAGGUUGUUAAUGGUGGUGCGGGGCAUUACUUUUUAAAUACUAAUUUGCCAAACAGACUACCACUGACUGUUUACCGACAUUGUGUGAAGGAGCCUGAAGAAAAAUAACACGACAAACAUUACACAUUACACAAAAACAAAAUACACCCAUAUAAAUCCUCUUAGCUCCUUGGCUCAGCUUUGGGACUAUCCAUCUGUCAAUCUGUUUACACUCAGCAGACUGGCUUCCCUCUGCUCAACUGCAACGAGCCACAGUCUGGGGAACAAGGAAAAGAUAAAAUGAGGAAGUGAAUGACAAGAGAGAGAGAGAGAACGGGAGGGAGAGGGGGAACGAGAACAGCUCUCAUCUCAUCAGUUUGAUGUUUACUACCUAACUGUAGAAAUAAUGAUCCUAAAGAUAGUGGAACAAGCUACGAGAGAGAUGGAGUAGGGAGAGAUAGAGAGAUGGAUGCAGAACAAAGGAAGGAUGUGAAGGAGGAAGACAGAAAGAUAUGUUUUGAUGAGAUGUUGUUUACGGAAAGUAAGCAUGGCCCUUUGUGUCUCCAGCUCCCACAGAUCAUCUCUCAAGGAUUAUGAAAACGAACAACCACUGAGAGAAACAAAAGUGACACUUCAACUAAAAGUUAUGCUAAAACAUUUAGCCUUUGUCUAUCUGCCACUUACUGGAAUGGUAUGAAGCAUUACAUCGACACAGACAACCUUCAAAGUGACACCCAAAGAGAUAGGCGUUCGUUGUGUCUGUUUAAGGACUGUUUUCAUCGCUAAUAAUGGUGUGACAGCAAGAAUCUAAAUCACUGCCAGGUGCUGCCCUCAACGUUACCAUAUGUGAAUGUGUAAGAAUGAUGGUGUGACGUUGUUCUACAAACUAUGGACAUAACACCGGGUUUGUUGUUUUUAGUAACUAAAUAAAAUGUUUUACAUUUGUGUGCCUUUUACCACAUCGAUAAUGUCCUCAUAACCAGCACAAAAUAACAACCACAUCCACAAGUGCACAGUGAAGCAGUUACUACAAUAAAGGCAAGGGGUUUUGCAGGUCUUGAA
Molecule: long non-coding RNA, 1862 nt
Organism: Esox lucius (northern pike)
Lineage: Eukaryota; Metazoa; Chordata; Actinopteri; Esociformes; Esocidae
Exons: 2
Source: RefSeq, a predicted model, not a curated record